Molecule: small RNA, 694 nt
Filed under: Pongo abelii (Sumatran orangutan)
Lineage: Eukaryota; Metazoa; Chordata; Mammalia; Primates; Hominidae
Description: retained intron
Source: RNAcentral
GAGACGCCGCGGGCAGAGCUGGACAGCUUGCGUCACACAGACUGGGCCCGACUGUGGGUUCAGCUCAUGCGGGAGCUCCGCCACGGAGUGAAGUUGAAGAAGGUGCAGGAGCAGGAGUUCAACCCCCUGCCCACCGAGUUCCAGCUCACGCCCUUCGAGAUGCUGAUGCAGGACAUCCGGGCCCGGAACUACAAGCUGCGCAAGGUCAUGGUGGAUGGGGACAUCCCGCCCCGGGUGAAGAAGGAUGCUCAUGAGCUCAUCCUGGACUUUAUCCGCUCACGGCCUCCACUGAAGCAGGUGCCUCCCCUGCCUCCUCCUCCUCAGGGGCCUCCCGGGGCCUGGUGCUGUCCUGUAGCCAGCCUGGGAGGUGUCCCAGCACGUCUUCUUGUGGCCAGCCUGGGAGGUGUCCCAGCACGUCUUCCUGUGGCCAGCCUGGGAGGUGUCCCAGUGCAUCUGCGUCACGGGUGAGGCGGACAGGCUUCCUCCUGCCUGUGUGCCAGCCCAGGGCUGUGUGGCCCUGGGCCCUUUUUCUGGGAAAGGGCCAUGUGAGCCAUGCCCACCCCACCCCAGGUGCAUGCGGAGCCCAGAGCCCCCUGAGAGCAGCACUCCCUCUGGGUGGUCCUGGCCGGCUCUUUCUACUCCAGAGUGGGCCCGUGUCAUGGCCACUUCCCCACCGCAGGUCCCCCUUCCGCAC